GGGAAUAUGGCUUAGUGGUAGAGUGCUUGCCUAGCAUGCAUGAAGCCCUGGGUUCAAUUCCUCAGUACCA
Non-coding RNA from Dipodomys ordii (Ord's kangaroo rat), 70 nucleotides. NCBI's taxonomy places the organism in Eukaryota, Metazoa, Chordata, Mammalia, Rodentia, Heteromyidae. The record is from Rfam.